GGGGUUGUAGCUCAGUGGUAGAGUGCUUGCCUAGCAUGCAUGAGGCACUGGGUUCAAUCCCCGGCACCA
Molecule: transfer RNA, 69 nt
Filed under: Ictidomys tridecemlineatus (thirteen-lined ground squirrel)
Lineage: Eukaryota; Metazoa; Chordata; Mammalia; Rodentia; Sciuridae
Description: Spermophilus tridecemlineatus (thirteen-lined ground squirrel) tRNA
Rfam family: tRNA
About the family: Transfer RNA (tRNA) molecules are approximately 80 nucleotides in length. Their secondary structure includes four short double-helical elements and three loops (D, anti-codon, and T loops).
Source: Rfam by way of RNAcentral